GAAAGCCAAAACUUAUUUUUACAUGGUUGUCAGCACAUUUACCGAUAUGGACACUUUUCCCAAUAAUUUUCCUCCUGGUGGAGACAGUGGAUUGACAGCUUCUCAGUCGGAGUUCCAGAAAAUGUUAAUUGAUGAAAGGUUACGAUGUGAGCAUCAUAAAGCUAAUUAUCAGACACUGAAGGCUGAACACACAAGGUUGCAGAAUGAACAUGUAAAGUUACAAAAUGAACUCAAGCACCUGUUUAAUGAAAAGCAAACUCAGCAGGAAAAACUUCAGCUCCUACUUGAAGAACUAAGAGGAGAAUUAGUAGAGAAAACUAAAGAUUUAGAAGAAAUGAAACUGCAGAUAUUAACUCCACAAAAGUUGGAAUUGCUAAGAGCCCAAAUACAACAAGAAUUAGAAACUCCAAUGAGAGAACGUUUUAGGAAUCUAGAUGAAGUAAGUAACUUAUGUUGUUUACUAUGCAUUUAUCCUCAUGGGAUCAAAGUCUUGAUGAAAAGCAUCAUUUCCCUACCCCAAAACCCUGCAGUAGUUCCCCCUUUUACUCAGUCAUUACAGUGGCCUCUAAGGCUUCACAGGAUCGAACUCCCAUUACCUCUCUGAUCUCCUUUCCUUUUUCCACAUUGGCCU
RNAcentral lists this small RNA (631 nucleotides) under Pan troglodytes (chimpanzee). Its description in RNAcentral is "retained intron". The record is from RNAcentral. Lineage: Eukaryota; Metazoa; Chordata; Mammalia; Primates; Hominidae.